Molecule: transfer RNA, 67 nt
Filed under: Lentilactobacillus buchneri
Lineage: Bacteria; Bacillati; Bacillota; Bacilli; Lactobacillales; Lactobacillaceae
Also listed under: 4 other names
Rfam family: tRNA
About the family: Transfer RNA (tRNA) molecules are approximately 80 nucleotides in length. Their secondary structure includes four short double-helical elements and three loops (D, anti-codon, and T loops). Further hydrogen bonds mediate the characteristic L-shaped molecular structure. tRNAs have two regions of fundamental functional importance: the anti-codon, which is responsible for specific mRNA codon recognition, and the 3' end, to which the tRNAs corresponding amino acid is attached (by aminoacyl-tRNA synthetases). tRNAs cope with the degeneracy of the genetic code in two manners: having more than one tRNA (with a specific anti-codon) for a particular amino acid; and 'wobble' base-pairing, i.e. permitting non-standard base-pairing at the 3rd anti-codon position.
Source: RNAcentral
GCAAUAGCUCAGCUGGAUAGAGCAACGGUCUUCUAAACCGUAGGUCGAGAGUUCGAAUCUCUCUUGC